RNAcentral lists this ribosomal RNA (444 nucleotides) under uncultured bacterium. RNAcentral describes it as "bacterial SSU rRNA". It matches the Rfam family "Bacterial small subunit ribosomal RNA", at positions 958 to 1398 of the family's 1533-position model. The record is from RNAcentral.
AACGCGAAGAACCUUACCAGGCCUUGACAUGUCCAGUUUGAUUACCAGAGAUGGUUUUCUUCACUUCGGGUGGCUGGAACACAGGUGCUGCAUGGCUGUCGUCAGCUCGUGUCGUGAGAUGUUGGGUUAAGUCCCGCAACGAGCGCAACCCUCGUCCUUAGUUGCCAACGGGUAAUGCCGGGAACUCUAAGGAAACUGCCUAUGAUAAGUAGGAGGAAGGUGGGGACGACGUCAAGUCAUCAUGGCCCUUACGGCCUGGGCUACACACGUGCUACAAUGGUGGUGACAAUGGGCAGCAAACUCGCGAGAGUAAGCUAAUCCCCAAAAACCAUCUCAGUUCGGAUUGUACUCUGCAACUCGAGUGCAUGAAGUUGGAAUCGCUAGUAAUCGUAGAUCAGCAUGCUACGGUGAAUACGUUCCCGGGCCUUGUACACACCGAGUAUA